CCUACGGGUGACUGCAGUGAGGAAUAUUGGUCAAUGGACGCAAGUCUGAACCAGCCAUGCCGCGUGCAGGAUGACGGCUCUAUGAGUUGUAAACUGCUUUUGUACGAGGGUAAACCCCGAUAAGUGUAUCGGGUUGAAAGUAUCGUACGAAUAAGGAUCGGCUAACUCCGUGCAAGCAGCGGCGGUAAUACGGAGGAUCCGAGCGUUAUCCGGAUUGAUUGGGUUUAAAGGGUGCGUAGGCGGUUUGAUAAGUUAGAGGUGAAAUGUCGGGGCUCAACCCCGAAACUGCCUCUAAUACUGUUGGACUAGAGAAUAGUUGCGGUAGGCGGAAUGUAUGGUGUAGCGGUGAAAUGCUUAGAGAUCAUACAGAACACCGAUUGCGAAGGCAGCUUACCAAACUAUAUCUGACGUUGAGGCACGAAAGCGUGGGUAGCAAACAGGAUUAGAUACCCUUGUAGUC
This 460-nucleotide ribosomal RNA is filed under the name uncultured bacterium. Its description in RNAcentral is "partial 16S ribosomal RNA". It matches the Rfam family "Bacterial small subunit ribosomal RNA", at positions 338 to 795 of the family's 1533-position model. The record is from RNAcentral.